AUACGGAAGGUGCGAGCGUUAAUCGGAAUUACUGGGCGUAAAGGGUUCGUAGGCUGCCAAGUCAGUCGGAUGUGAAAGCCCCGGGCUUAACCUGGGAAUGCCAUUCGAUACUGCUUGGCUAGAGUAUGACAGAGGAAAGCGGAAUUCCGCAUGUAGCGGUGAAAUGCGUAGAUAUGCGGAAGAACACCAACGGCGAAGGCAGCUUUCUGGAUCAAUACUGACGCUGAGGAACGAAAGCGUGGGGAGCAAACAGGAUUAGAAACCCGGGUAGUCC
Molecule: ribosomal RNA, 274 nt
Filed under: uncultured bacterium
Lineage: Bacteria
Description: partial 16S ribosomal RNA
Rfam family: Bacterial small subunit ribosomal RNA
Source: RNAcentral